RNAcentral lists this ribosomal RNA (253 nucleotides) under uncultured bacterium. RNAcentral describes it as "partial 16S ribosomal RNA". It matches the Rfam family "Bacterial small subunit ribosomal RNA", at positions 524 to 776 of the family's 1533-position model. The record is from RNAcentral.
UACAGAGGGUGCGAGCGUUAAUCGGAAUUACUGGGCGUAAAGCGCACGUAGGCGGCUUGGUAUGUCGGGUGUGGAAUCCCCGGGCUCAACCUGGGAACUGCAUCCGAAACUGCCUUGCUAGAGUAUGGGAGAGGGAAGUGGAAUUUCCGGUGUAGCGGUGAAAUGCGUAGAUAUCGGAAGGAACAUCAGUGGCGAAGGCGACUUCCUGGACCAAUACUGACGCUCAGGUGCGAAAGCGUGGGGAGCAAACAGG